RNAcentral lists this ribosomal RNA (440 nucleotides) under uncultured bacterium. RNAcentral's name for it is "partial 16S ribosomal RNA". It matches the Rfam family "Bacterial small subunit ribosomal RNA", at positions 338 to 795 of the family's 1533-position model. The record is from RNAcentral.
CCUACGGGGGGCAGCAGUGGGGGAUAUUGCACAAUGGGGGAAACCCUGAUGCAGCGACGCCGCGUGAGUGAAGCAGUAUUUCGGUAUGUAAAGCUCUAUCAGCAGGGAAGAAAAUGACAGUACCUGACCAAGUAGCCCCGGCGAACUACGUGCCAGCAGCCGCGGUAAUACGUAGGGGGCAAGCGUUAUCCGGAUUUACUGGGUGUAAAGGGAGCCUAGACGGUUUUGUAAGUCUGGAGUGAAAGCUCGGGGCCAAAUCCCGGGAUUGCUUUGGAAACUGUGUAACUGGAGGACAGGAGGGGCAGGCGGAAUUCCUGGUGGAGCGGUGAAAUGCGGAGAUAUCAGGAAGAACACCGGCGGCGAAGGCAGCCUGCUGGACUGAAACUGACGUUGAGGCGCGAAAGCGUGGGGAGCAAACAGGAUUAGAUACCCCUGUAGUC